ACACUGGGACUGAGACACGGCCCAGACUCCUACGGGAGGCAGCAGUGAGGAAUAUGCACAAUGGGGGGAACCCUGAUGCAGCGACGCCGCGUGGGUGAUGACGGCCUUCGGGUUGUAAAAGCCCCUUUUGCCACUGACGAGAACGGACGGUAGGUGGCGAAUAAGCCUCGGCUAACUACGUGCCAGCAGCCGCGGUAAAACGUAGGAGGCGAGCGUUAUCCGGAGUUACUGGGCGUAAAGCGUGCGCAGGCGGUGCCAUAAGUCAGGUGUGAAAAGGUUCCGGCUCAACCGGGAAAACGCGCUUGAGACUGUGGGACUAGAGUGGGAUAGAGGGACGUGGAAUUCCGGGGUGGAGCGGUGAAAUGUGUAGAGAUCCGGAGGAACACCAGAGGCGCAAGCGGCGUCCUGGGUCCCAACUGACGCUGAGGCAC
Molecule: ribosomal RNA, 431 nt
Filed under: uncultured bacterium
Lineage: Bacteria
Description: bacterial SSU rRNA
Rfam family: Bacterial small subunit ribosomal RNA
Source: RNAcentral